Molecule: ribosomal RNA, 3931 nt
Filed under: Triticum aestivum (bread wheat)
Lineage: Eukaryota; Viridiplantae; Streptophyta; Magnoliopsida; Poales; Poaceae
Description: partial small subunit ribosomal RNA
Source: RNAcentral
CAAACAGGUUCGCUUCAUCGAGAAGAAAGAGAGAAAGAGAUUGGCAAGUGGCCCAGCCCCCAAUCCCCAUCCCCGAUUUCUCUCCCUCUCCCUUUCGCUCGUCUGCCGCCGCCGCCACCACCGGCGCCCUCCCCGUCGCCGUCGCCACCACUGGCGCCCAGGUGUGGCGCUGCUCUUCCCCACCCGGACGAGGUCGAUGCGCCCCCUGCCACACUUCCUUCUCCAACGCGUCAUCAUAUUCAGAGGAGCCGCGGCUGCUCGCGCAUCUGCUCCACCUGGAGUUGUCGCCAUCAGCAGGAGGAGUGCCGGACCACCGCUCCGGCGGCCCGUUGUUUCUGGCCGCCGUCCGCCUCGUUGGCCCUCUUUUUGGCUUGCCUCUGGUCUCAAGCAAACUUCCCCUCCUCCUCUCGUCGCGCCACUCCACGCAUCCUGCAGCGCCGAGGAAGGUGGACCAGCGACGGCCGGAUCCCGGAGGAAAAUAUGGCAGUGGGAUGCAAGACGAAGCUAAUCGGCGGCGGUGGGUGAGGCGGCGGGAGGCGACGGCGACGGGCAAAUCGGUCAACGAUAGAUACGGUUCGGUUCCGUCCGGCCUUCCGCGCCAAGGCCCGCGGCGAGGAGUUCUCCUGCAAGACGCAAAAACAUCAAGGACACGGUCCACCGGGAGGUCGAGAUCAUGCAACACCUCUCGGGCCACCACGGCGUCGUCACGCUCAAGGCCGUCUGUGGCGGCUGCAUAUCGAGGCGGCGGCUGCAGAUCGAAGCAGCUGAAAGGGAUGAGAUGACUCGGAGUCAGGGGCUACAUAUCCCUGCUAUCCUUGAUUUUGUGUCCAAUAUUUGAGAUGAGGCAUGAGUGACUUUGAGGAGAUGUACAAUGCAAAGUUCAGAGAUCAACACUAUAAUGAUGUGUGUGGCCGAACAUUUAUAUAUCAAGGUCUGUACUUCCAAAGUUUCUGAUCUAGAAAUUUACCUAAGGUUGUACUGAACAAAUACAAAGUUUCUGAUCAUAUACAUAUCUUAGGUAACUAUAAUAAUGUGUGGUUGUGUCCUUGAACGUUCAUAUAUCAAGGUCUAUACUUCCAAAGUCGACCUAGAGCCCCGUAAAAAGGAUUUACAUAGAGCCUCAUAAAAGGGAUUCAGUUAAGAGGGAUUCUGUUGUUUUUGUUAGAAAGCUCAGAGGUGUAAUAAUUCAUUGUCCUCUGUUCAAUAACUUGUCUUCCACUUCCUACCACGUAAUACCUGAGAAUAUAGUUUUAAUCUUCUCCAGUAUGAACGGAUUUUCUUUCUUUUAAAUUCCACACAAUGGAACAACGAUGGUUUCCACUUUUUUGUUUUAUGAAAUUCAUCUUCUUGCAAAUUUAUAGCUCACUACCUCAUGUUUUUAUGUUCCAAUAUGUUCAGAUAAUUCAUUGAGAUUUGACUUUUUGCACCCGCAAGGUAAAUCAAAAGUUCAGAACUUAAAAGGCUUCGUUAACUUUAAGAGAGUGGAAGGGGCGCCUCCAACCUGGCACUGCCCAAACUUCCUCUUAUAUGUGAUGUUUUCAGAUGCAUGUAUGCUUACUUGCUAAAUGAACUAUGCAUGCUUUCUUCUUAAAAAGUUCAGAUCUGGCCACCAAGGGGCAGUAUCCAUCAGCUAAAGAUGCAGUACGAAGAUGACCCAGUAAAAAGUAUUUAGUUCUUCAUGCUGAUUUAAAAAAAUACAAUUAACCAGUUCCUCCUUUUAAAUUUGAUAUUGAUAUAGUUAUCAUUUUGAUGCUUAGAGCUCAUCAUUUUGUAGGAAGAUGUCCGGGUUCUCGUCAAAUGAAAGCUGCACUACUAUAAAAAAUGGAAACAAAAGAACACCGGGCAGUCUCAUUCCGCACUGCAUUUGCACAGUCUGUCUUACCAGUGGACUGUAAAGCAAGAACAAAGCAUGAUAAAGGCGAACGACAUCUUUCUUCUUGGCCGGAUGACAUUUAUUUACAAUAUGGUAUUGUCUUUAGAAUUUCUCGUGUUGGUGUUUUCGUGUACUUAAUUAUGUGAUGGUGAUGAUUAUACACUCCUCACUUAUAGGAAUAGUGACCAUGCUGUGUACAUUGUAAUCUCUUUCCUGUUUUUCCUUUAUAGGAAUGAUAAGACUUCCUACAGUAGGCUUAAUGAGAAUUUCUUGUUUAUGGAAGUGUUCGGUACUUUAAUACAGCUCAGUAUACGCAUGUGUGGAUAGAGUUAACAGUGAUAUUGCGACAUCUCUUCACAGGAGCAAAGCUGAUUGCCCUGUCCCAGAGGUGCUGGAACAGUGAGCAUGUCACUGUUUCUAUAAAUGUGCUUUUUUUUCUCAGACGGGUCAUAUAGUUUCUACAAGCAAUGAUCACUGUUAGCGUGGAUGGCUCUGUACUUGACAGGAUUGCCAAAAUCAUGUCAUACCUUAGAUUUGGAUCAUCAGGGAAGGUCUUGAAGAACAAGAAAAAGAAGAGGGAUACAAAAGGUAUAUGCUUCAAAAUGAAAGUGGUUGUUCUAUCAAUCUAUCAUAGUAGAGGAUGUUAGAGUGAGACCUAAGAACAGGAUUACAGGAAAGCUUUCUUUAUCAAGGCGUGAGAAAACAUGCUAGAGUAAUUUUCUUAGAUGAAGGAGAAAUGUUGGAUGAGUGUUUAUAUUUUAACGGACAUCGAAAAGUCUGGCCUUUGUUUAGAAAGUUUAGUCAUGUUACAAAGCUCAAAUUUAUUAUUAUUUUCUUAGUCAAGUUGACCUAGGAAGUGAAGAUUGAACUAUGUCAAGGGGUCAUGGCAUGGAUUUCUUAGUUAUCAUUUCUGGACCACCAUGCCACUGCAUUCUCUAAAUCAAAUUUUGCUUGGUUGCUCCCCUGGUGAUCCUGUUUGUUGUGGUUGGUGCUUCAGGUUUGCUCCUCCUCCCCUCUUUCACCAGAUUUUCUCAAUAUGGCCAUUACACACAAUCAAGAUGUGUACAACUACAAGAAGGUGUGAUUGGCUAUGUUGAUGUGCUUGUUUUUCCUAUAUGCAGGUUUGCCUAAUUUAUUUGAUCUAUUAUUUCUUUGCAUUUUGCAGAUCCAGGUUUAAAUAUAACAUGUCAUACCAUAUGAUAAUGCUACUCCGUCUACACUAGGAUCACGCUAAUUAGUUGAUGAAUAAAUAAAUUCCUAUAUCAAAUAUGUCAACUGAUGCUUGAUGUUCUUGCUGUAUUAAUUAGUAUUUUAUGAAUAGAUAAAUUCCUAUAUCAUGCUAAUUGCUAACUACUCCCUCUGUAAAGUAGUGAUCUAAACGCUCUUAUAUUUCUUUACGGAGGGAGUAGUUGAUAAAUAUAUAAAUUCAUAUAUCUAAUAUGUCAUCAGCUGUUGAUGUUCUUGAUGUACUCAUUAGUAUCUUAUGGAUAGAUAAAUUCCUAUAUCAUGCUAAUUGCUAAUUAGUUGAUAAAUAGGUAAACUCCUAUAUCUAAUAUGUCAUCUGAUACUUGAUACUGUUGCAGUACUAAUUAGUAUCUGAUGCGCCUUCAAGUUCUGAUGCAAUUUAGAACAUCCCUCUUUAAGCAAAAGUCUGGUUGACAGUCAAAAAAAUUGUAGCUCUCAAUCUAGGAAUCACUUGCCCUUACUAGCGUGUUGAUAGAUUGACAAAAUGUCUAGCUACCUGAAGUAUAUUGCUUUCCCUUUUUAUAUCCUCAAAGUUGUUGGUCAUAAUGUCUUAUUGAUUAGAAGCAAUAAUACAAAUUACUGAUACACUUGCCUGGUAAAAUGAUUUGAUAUUCUGAUACACGGUGUCGCCUGUCACAGAAUUGAUACAUAUAGUUAGAACGCAGACCAUAUUCUGCUGCUUAGCCUUUUUCGUGUGCGUCUGAUAUUGUAGCUUGUUCAUUUCUAUCAGUAAGAUACACAUUAACUCUUUCCUUCUCUGUAAUAUGUAAUUCCGAGUGUGUUACUUUGACUUUUCCAAUUGCAAUACAAAAG